GCGCCCGUAGCUCAAUUGGAUAGAGCGUCUGGCUACGGACCAGAAGGCUAGGGGUUCGAUUCCUCUCGGGCGUA
RNAcentral lists this transfer RNA (74 nucleotides) under Fidelibacterota bacterium. RNAcentral's name for it is "tRNA-Arg". It matches the Rfam family "tRNA". From Rfam's summary of the family: Transfer RNA (tRNA) molecules are approximately 80 nucleotides in length. Their secondary structure includes four short double-helical elements and three loops (D, anti-codon, and T loops). Further hydrogen bonds mediate the characteristic L-shaped molecular structure. tRNAs have two regions of fundamental functional importance: the anti-codon, which is responsible for specific mRNA codon recognition, and the 3' end, to which the tRNAs corresponding amino acid is attached (by aminoacyl-tRNA synthetases). tRNAs cope with the degeneracy of the genetic code in two manners: having more than one tRNA (with a specific anti-codon) for a particular amino acid; and 'wobble' base-pairing, i.e. permitting non-standard base-pairing at the 3rd anti-codon position. Lineage: Bacteria; Pseudomonadati; Fidelibacterota. The record is from RNAcentral.